Molecule: long non-coding RNA, 2803 nt
Organism: Engraulis encrasicolus (European anchovy)
Lineage: Eukaryota; Metazoa; Chordata; Actinopteri; Clupeiformes; Engraulidae
Exons: 5
Source: RefSeq, a predicted model, not a curated record
AGUACAAUCCCCGGGAAAAAAUUGACCAACCACAACGUUAUUAGUUAGUUGGUAACUGACGCAGGUCUGACGCUCAACGUCAAGUACGUAACUCUGCUUCUCAAUUUUCUGACAAAGCCGCCAUCUUUGUGCUGCAGGAAAGCCGUUUGAGAUAUUGGUGAAAUUCAAACACUUUGUGAGAUGACAGAAUAUUGCUGAAGGAUCCUACAUGGAAGCUGGCUGAUUACACGGAGUGAUUCCUCUGGUGUGGUGUACCUCAGAGAAAUAAACACUGUUGCAAGAGCUGAGAAGAUGGCCAAGAUAUCCUUAUUGCUGGAUGGUAGCUCUGGUCGUAGUGGACCAUAUCUGCAAAUGCGUCUGAACAUUGACAGAAUUUCUAAAGAUGACUGAGAAUAUUACUGAAGGAUCCUACAUGGAAGCUGUCUGAUUACACUGAGCGAUUCCUCUGGUGUGGUGUACCUCAGAGAAAAUAAACACUGUUGCAAGAGGUGAGUUUAAGUUCAUGAAUUCACACAAAACCAAUCCAUGUAUUUUAUAAAAGUCAAAGUGCUAAACAUGCUAUGUAUUUCAUGCUGUCAAUAUGAGAUGCAAAUUAAUGUUGUGUGUUAAUGUUGUGUGCAGCUGUUAAUUCUGAUUGGGAAAAUUGCACUUUUCAUACAUGAAAAGGGAGAUCUUAUCCGUGGUCCACCAUUUUGUAUUUCCAGAAAUAGCAAUUUUUAGCUGAAAAGCUUAAUAUACCGGUAAUAAUUUGGUCAUACUAGUAAACAUUACUUCAUUACCGGUAUUUAGUAAAUAUUAAUGAAAACCAAGAUAGAAUUUGGCAGUAGACGGCACAGUUUCACUGAGCAACAUAGUUGCAAUACCUAUUCUGGCCAUCUUUUUAGAGCUUCUUAUCUACUAAAGAUGUACCGUAGACAUGCUUGUGUGUUCUGCAGUCAUUCAGAUAACAUAAAGAAAUUGUACAAAUCAUCCACUAGAUGGCACUCUAAGACCACAAAUGGAAGAGCAAUGACGAAUGAUGAAUUAGGCCAGGGGUUCCCUUACAUGGCAAGGUCCCCAGUAUACUAGUGGAUCUUAGCUGAGUCCCUCACCCUUAAAGGUGCACUGAGUAAUAUUUUAGUAGGUUCUUUUCAGAAGUUAUACUGCCCAUACACAAAUGUUGCCUUUUUCGUGACUACUUGCCACCACCAUCACAUUGUAAGAAUUCAUUGUGACCGGGAAAAUGGCACUUUUCAUACAUGGUUCAAGCACUUGAUGUAUUUACUCCAGGAGGAAAAUGCGAAGGAAAUUGUAAUUCAAAUCGUUUGUAACAAAAACGGAAAUUGGUUAAAAAAAAAAAAAAAUUAUAAUAAUAAUAUUUUUUUUUCCUUCUUUUUUUUUACUUUCUUUUUUUCGUAAACUAUGGCGGCCAAAUUUAAACUAUGGCGGGCAGCCAUAGUUUACUCACUGUAAGGGAAACACUGGUAGUGCGAAUUCGUAGAGGGAUGCGAUUUGACAUUGGUGAAACCCCAACAUCAUACAAAUUAGAUGGUCCCAAAGCUUUCACGAAAAGAUCAAAUUUGGCAAUAGGCAGCACAGUUUCAAUGAGAAUCAUAGUUGCAAUACCUACUCUGGCCACAAACGUACAUGGUGCACCUUUAAAACAACUGUGAAUCCCAGUGUAAUGUAAUGUAAUGCUGCAAGAUGCUAAGUGUGUCUGUCUUUUUUUUUAGGUCACUGCUACUGCAGCAGAUGUCGCAAGUCUUUCUCUGCCCAACGCCCCAAGGCUGUUUGCACUUGGUUCAUUCUCAGAAUAAACCCAGAGGGCUCCAAAUGCCAGGCCAAGUCCAUCACCAGCAAGAAGACCGGUAAAAAGGUGCAAAGGAAGAGCAGCAGUGUCAACCCUGUUGUUGCUUCAUUCAUCAGGGAACUUGUUGGUUUUGACUGGCUGAAUUAUUAAUGCUUGACCUUUUGAAGUUCCAAUCACUUGUUUCUUUUAAGUAGUUCAGUCCGAGCAUUGCACCAAAGGCUCGAGGCCCUGUUGUUCUUGCUGUGUUUUCCCCCCUUCUCCCCGUUUCAAAACUUAUUUGGCACAGUUUUUCGAUAUUGUGUCAUGUAUAAGACUUUUAAAAGAGUGACUCUAUUGCGCACCCUAGCACAGAGAUGUUCGGGGCUGGAAUAUAGUUAUAGUUAUAGAAUAUAGUUGAAGCUACGGACUCUGGACCUUCUUUGUGGUAUGUACUUAUCUCAUUAAGAUGAACAAAAAAAGGUCAAUACGAGCAUAUGGCCACGCCCAACAGGAAAUGAGAUAUUGGACUGUUUUCCAUUUUGCAUACAUUGGAAUUUGAAGCACCCACCACAAACCAUACAACAGUUUUGUCUUGAUUAAUGUUUGGGGUAUCUCAUUUUAAUAGAAUAGAAUCUUUUUAUUUGUCAAUGUGAAUGAAAUAAAAAAAAAAGAAAAAUAUGUAUACAACUGAAGAGUUCAGAUGCAAAACCCCCUAACUCCAUUUCUGAAGACCUGCACUUUUAUAUUUUUAGAGAACCCCAUUGUUGGUUUGGUUUACAUUCAUGUACUUGAUAAUACAUAUGAAUAGUUAUAUUACAUAAAUAACAUUUUAAAAAUGUGGAAUUUUGAUAGCUUUGUAUUAAAUAAAAAUGAAACAAGAUUAUUUUCUGAAAUGGCACUUAUGGGGUUUUGCAUCUAAACUCUUCAACUAUAUACAAAGGUUAUGGAUUGUGCAUUUGUGAGAAGCAGGACCCCCUUCCUACUGGAGUAUGUUGUUAAAUUGUUAACCAGUUUUAAUUAAACAUUUUGAUUGCA